RNAcentral lists this ribosomal RNA (492 nucleotides) under uncultured bacterium. Its description in RNAcentral is "partial 16S ribosomal RNA". It matches the Rfam family "Bacterial small subunit ribosomal RNA", at positions 29 to 507 of the family's 1533-position model. The record is from RNAcentral.
AGUGAACGCUGGCGGUAGGCCUAACACAUGCAAGUCGAACGGCAGCACAGUAAGAGCUUGCUCUUACGGGUGGCGAGUGGCGGACGGGUGAGGAAUACAUCGGAAUCUACUUUUUCGUGGGGGAUAACGUAGGGAAACUUACGCUAAUACCGCAUACGGCCUACGGGUGAAAGCAGGGGAUCUUCGGACUUUGCGCGAUUGAAUGAGCCGAUGUCGGAUUAGCUAGUUGGCGGGGUAAAGGCCCACCAAGGCGACGAUCCGUAGCUGGUCUGAGAGGAUGAUCAGCCACACUGGAACUGAGACACGGUCCAGACUCCUACGGGAGGCAGCAGUGGGGAAUAUUGGACAAUGGGCGCAAGCCUGAUCCAGCCAUACCGCGUGGGUGAAGAAGGCCUUCGGGUUGUAAAGCCCUUUUGUUGGGAAAGAAGAGCAGCAGGUUAAUACCCCGCUGUUCUGACGGUACCCAAAGAAUAAGCACCGGCUAACUUCGUG